AACGUAGGGGGCUAGCGUUGUUCGGAAUUACUGGGCGUAAAGCGCGUGUAGGCGGCUUGGUAAGUCGGAAGUGAAAGCCCCAGGCUCAACUUGGGAAUUGCUUUCGAAACUGCCUAGCUUGAGUGCGGGAGGGGAGAGCGGAAUUCCAGGUGUAGCGGUGAAAUGCGUAGAUAUCUGGAGGAACACCGGUGGCGAAGGCGGCUCUCUGGACCGUAACUGACGCUGAGACGCGAAAGCGUGGGGAG
RNAcentral lists this ribosomal RNA (245 nucleotides) under uncultured bacterium. RNAcentral's name for it is "partial 16S ribosomal RNA". It matches the Rfam family "Bacterial small subunit ribosomal RNA", at positions 524 to 768 of the family's 1533-position model. The record is from RNAcentral.